GAGCUGAGGGGCGCCUGUGUGAGGAGCCGCGCGCGCGGGGCGGCUGCGGGCUGAGAGCGGCCCGGGCAGUCCUGGGACUCCUCGGUACCGGCUGGCAGCUGCGGGAGGGGUGGGCGCUGCAGGCAGGUGUUUCUGCGCUCUGCGAUCAGCUAAUCAAGUAACCGUGCACUGGGUCGCCUUGUGCAAGCUGGAGGCACGCGUGCGUCUCCGUGGAGCACGCUUUGCUAAGCAGCCUGCGGGUUACCGCCGCAGCCGUUGCCUGAGGGAGGCGGGCGUCUACGGAAAUAAAUACCCGCUGUGGAAACCGGGGGGCAGAAAGGUGACUUAGCGCGAUAGACGGCCCGUGCUAACCCUGCUGUGGUUUGCACGUGAGUAGCUUAAGAGAGGAGCUUUCUUAAAGCUCGGGAGCCGGUGCGGGAGGCGCCCGGGGCGGCGGUGUGUCAGCUGCAGGCACCGCUUCCACUGCCCGCUUAAUCACUCGAUUAACAAUUCAGGCAAAAAGCCACACACGCUUCAUGCAAAUACCUAGCUAUCCAUUAGGCGGAAUAAGGGAAAUGAAAUUACCGCGAGGAUACUGCUAAAUCAGCUCAUAAUUGUUGUGUUUUCACAAGCUGGUGGCAUUGGUUAGCUGACAUCAAUGAGUAUUUGUUGUGUGCAGUUAGGAUAUGCCCUGGGGAAAAGCUUUAUUCAUCCACGCUGCCGUCAGUUAAAAGCAGAACGAGCCCAGGCUGCCACCGCCGCCCUGCAUGUCCCGGGGUUUGCUGUCUGGCUCAGAGCAACGCUUGUGUUCCCUGGACUGCUGUCUGCAGGCUUUCUGGAAAGCUUUGCCAUCUAUGAUGAUUCUCUUUGAGGACAGUCACGACAUUCAUUUUCUCCGUACCUUAAAGUCAGAACGACGUAUGCAAUUUUUUUGUUCCUCUUUUCAUCUGGGAACACAUAGAGAAGCAUGACUUUAACGCUGCAUUCAGCUGAAAGGGUCUUAUAGACAUGCAUAAGGCCUAGCUUAUGGCAGACAUGGGAAUGCUGCUUUGAAAUGCCGAGCUCUUAGGCAAGUAUCAUUUUAACCACAGAGCAAAGCUGCAGUGACAUGAACUUGCCGUGGAUUUUCAUGUGGCUAGGUUUUUGCUUUGCUUCACAUGUGAUAGCUGAAUGCUUUCACAGUCGUGCUCCCUGAUCCCACACGCAGGACACAACAGCAGCAGGCUGCAGUUCAGGCUGCCCCACUGCAUCUACACCUGGAGCAGACCACAAGGGCUCUCACCGUGCUCCCUGUCAGCACCUUGUUCUUACUGGACUCAGAAUGAUUGGGAACAGACUCUUGCUUCUGAUUGAGGUAGAAGAGACAUGAUACAUAAAAUACCCACCGCGGGCUAGGCUAAUGAGCAGGAGCACUGCAGCACUGAAAGGACACCAUAUACGUACCAUCUGAGAUGGCUGACUCCUGGGAUAGAGGUCAGCUCUGUUGUCCUAUCUAGUUUUUCAAAGUACUCUUGCUUAUUGUUAUUAUUUAAACACACAGGCUUAAAGCCAAGCUGCUUAAGGCCACACAAUAAAUUAUUCCUUUGUCUUUAA
Gallus gallus (chicken) is the source of this 1572-nucleotide RNA transcript. RefSeq lists it as uncharacterized. NCBI's taxonomy places the organism in Eukaryota, Metazoa, Chordata, Aves, Galliformes, Phasianidae. The record is from RefSeq and is a predicted model, not a curated record. The transcript has 2 exons.